RNAcentral lists this transfer RNA (57 nucleotides) under Neofoleyellides sp. XM-2022. RNAcentral describes it as "tRNA-Asn". The record is from RNAcentral. Lineage: Eukaryota; Metazoa; Nematoda; Chromadorea; Rhabditida; Onchocercidae.
GAGUUUUUAUUAUAAUUUAAGUAUGAUUAAUUGUUGAUUAAUAGGUUUGUGAGCUCU